AACGAACGCUGGCGGCAGGCCUAACACAUGCAAGUCGAGCGAGACCUUCGGGUCUAGCGGCGGACGGGUGAGUAACGCGUGAGAAUCUACCCAUGAGUGGGGGACAACCCGGGGAAACUCGGGCUAAUACCGCAUACGCCCUACGGGGUAAAGCAGGGGACCUUCGGGCCUUGCGCUGAUGGAUGAGCUCGCGUCGGAUUAGCUUGUUGGUGAGGUAAAGGCUCACCAAGGCGACGAUCCGUAGCUGGUCUGAGAGGAUGAUCAGCCACACCGGGACUGAGACACGGCCCGGACUCCUACGGGAGGCAGCAGUGGGGAAUCUUGGACAAUGGGGGCAACCCUGAUCCAGCCAUGCCGCGUGUGUGAAGAAGGCCUUCGGGUUGUAAAGCACUUUCAGCAGGGAGGAAGGCUUACCCCUAAUACGGGUGAGUACUUGACGUUACCUGCAGAAGAAGCACCCGCUAAUUUCGUG
This 472-nucleotide ribosomal RNA is filed under the name uncultured bacterium. Its description in RNAcentral is "bacterial SSU rRNA". It matches the Rfam family "Bacterial small subunit ribosomal RNA", at positions 29 to 507 of the family's 1533-position model. The record is from RNAcentral.